AGAUGCAUGCAAAUGUUCAGUUUUGUUGUGUAUAUCUAGCUAAAAUCAAACAAUUAUAAUUGUUCAGUUCAGCAAAGCAUGUCUCCUAAUAGACUGUAGAGCCUUGAGAUGACCUGUUUUUUGGUGAUCUCAAUUGUUCACUACUGGUAUAGUAGUAGUGAACAUCCCUAAAAACAGGAAUAAUUAUUUGACUUAAUUGAUGAUAAGAAAAAUGUUGCAUUAUAUUUACAUUUUAACACUUCUUGACUAGUGAUCAUUCUCUAUUUUGGUAUCAGUGAUCUCUCCUGGUCCGUAUCUUGCCUCUUUAUUUAGAAACCCAAUGUCAAAGUAUGGCUACAGUUCUACUGGCUGCUUUGCUUAUGUGUAAGAUGGUGCAAUGCCUCAUUUUUGUAACUGUAGUACUCUAUAAAUGUUUAAAUUAAUUAUAGGACCUAAAAGGAACAGGCCGGAACUAAUAUCCUGCUUUUGUAACUAAAUUAGGGUCUGUCUAGAUAUGCUGACACUUAAUUUUUUCAUCCCCU
RNAcentral lists this long non-coding RNA (521 nucleotides) under Bos taurus (domestic cattle). Its description in RNAcentral is "long non-coding RNA NONBTAT007559". The record is from RNAcentral. Lineage: Eukaryota; Metazoa; Chordata; Mammalia; Artiodactyla; Bovidae.